GUGGAUGCCUUGACACUAGGAGUCGAUGAAGGACGGGACUAACGCCGAUAUGCUUCGGGGAGCUGCAAGUAAGCUUUGAUCCGAAGAUUUCCGAAUGGGGAAACCCACCAUACGGAAUUGUAUGGUAUCCUUAUCUGAAUACAUAGGUGAAGGAAGACAGAGCCAGGGAACUGAAACAUGUAAGUACCUUGAGGAAGAGCAAGCUAAAUGCGAUUUCCUGAGGAGCGGCGAGCGCAACGGGAUAAAGGGAAAGCCAAGGGGCUUGUCUAUGGGGGUUGUAGGACAUUCUAUGCGGAGUUAGAGAGGGACGAGGUAGACUAGGCGACCUGUAGAGGUGUGUCGUAGAGGGAAACAACACAGUAGUCGAAACUUCGUU
This 376-nucleotide ribosomal RNA is filed under the name Bacillus cereus. Its description in RNAcentral is "partial 23S ribosomal RNA". It matches the Rfam family "Bacterial large subunit ribosomal RNA", at positions 24 to 391 of the family's 2925-position model. The record is from RNAcentral. Lineage: Bacteria; Bacillati; Bacillota; Bacilli; Caryophanales; Bacillaceae.